CCCUUUUCCCAUGCAUAUGCAUCGGACUCGGAUGAUGAUGGUCCCGAUGAACAAGUUGAUGCGGAGGGGUUCACGGUGAAGGAGGCCGAAGCUUUCGAGAAGGUAUUUGGUCGGGAUCAUCGGACUAUGUUCAAGGAUGUUAGUCUCGCGGAUGAAGUCGUGGUAGAUGGUGGCCAAUGUGUAGCUCUUGGGGGUAGGCCAAGCUCUCAC
This 210-nucleotide ribosomal RNA is filed under the name Triticum aestivum (bread wheat). RNAcentral describes it as "partial small subunit ribosomal RNA". Lineage: Eukaryota; Viridiplantae; Streptophyta; Magnoliopsida; Poales; Poaceae. The record is from RNAcentral.